ACGAACGCUGGCGGCGUGCUUAACACAUGCCAGUCGAACGGGAAGGCCCCUUUGGGGGUACUCGAGUGGCGAACGGGUGAGUAACACGUGAGUAACCUGCCCUUGACUUCGGGAUAACUUCAGGAAACUGGGGCUAAUACCGGAUAGGAAUCCUUGCUGCAUGGUGGGGGUUGGAAAGCUUCGGCGGUUUUGGAUGGACUCGCGGCUUAUCAGCUUGUUGGUGGGGUAGUGGCUUACCAAGGCUUUGACGGGUAGCCGGCCUGAGAGGGCGACCGGCCACAUUGGGACUGAGAUACGGCCCAGACUCCUACGGGAGGCAGCAGUGGGGAAUAUUGCACAAUGGGCGGAAGCCUGAUGCAGCAACGCCGCGUGCGGGAUGACAGCCUUCGGGUUGUAAACCGCUUUCAGCAGGGGCGAAGCUUUUGUGACGGUACCUGCAGAAGAAGCACCGGCUAACUACGUG
Molecule: ribosomal RNA, 463 nt
Filed under: uncultured bacterium
Lineage: Bacteria
Description: partial 16S ribosomal RNA
Rfam family: Bacterial small subunit ribosomal RNA
Source: RNAcentral